Molecule: long non-coding RNA, 619 nt
Organism: Limulus polyphemus (Atlantic horseshoe crab)
Lineage: Eukaryota; Metazoa; Arthropoda; Merostomata; Xiphosura; Limulidae
Exons: 4
Source: RefSeq, a predicted model, not a curated record
UGACUGAUAAAUUGCGUUUGGAGUACAAUGAAGAUGCAGCUCUUGUUGAAAAGAAAGUGUGCUAUUCUAAAUAUAAUAUAUGUACAACAUGAGAAUUAAAGAUAUGUAGUAACUUUAAUCAUUGGUUAUUUUAAACUUUUAUGUUUUACACUGCCAAAUCACGACGUCGCCGGAAAGCCAAGAUUCCACAUCUUGGGGAAUGUGUUCUUUACCCACAGUCCUCCAGAGCAUCAAAAUGUUCCUGAAUAAUUCUGUUCCUACUGAUCUUCUACAAGUUUACCAUCUUACUAAACUUGUGACUCCAGAUAUUCUAUUAGCAGUUGGAAUUGGAUUAGUCGUGUUCCUGUUCACAUGGAUGGUUGUCUACUUAGAUAGCAGCCAGCCUGGAGUUGAGCCUCCUUCACCACUUUCUCCAAGAAAAAUCAGGAUGUCUUCCGGACACUCGUAUCAUAUUGGAUAUAUUAUGGCUGUCGUAAAUGGACUUUUGUUUUUGGCUCUUGCACUUGCCUGGUGAGAAACGUGGCACUGUAGGUGCCAAUCAAGAUGUGACCUCCACCUUAUUAGAGGUGAAAGCUUGGGGUAUUGACUUACUCUGGUUGUAUUAUUUACAAAGCAUAAA